RNAcentral lists this ribosomal RNA (557 nucleotides) under uncultured bacterium. RNAcentral describes it as "bacterial SSU rRNA". It matches the Rfam family "Bacterial small subunit ribosomal RNA", at positions 112 to 704 of the family's 1533-position model. The record is from RNAcentral.
AACGCGUGGGAACGUGCCCUUUGGUACGGAACAACUGAGGGAAACUUCAGCUAAUACCGUAUGUGCCCUUCGGGGGAAAGAUUUAUCGCCAUUGGAGCGGCCCGCGUUGGAUUAGGUAGUUGGUGAGGUAAAGGCUCACCAAGCCGACGAUCCAUAGCUGGUCUGAGAGGAUGAUCAGCCACACUGGGACUGAGACACGGCCCAGACUCCUACGGGAGGCAGCAGUAGGGAAUCUUGCGCAAUGGGCGAAAGCCUGACGCAGCCAUGCCGCGUGAAUGAUGAAGGUCUUAGGAUUGUAAAAUUCUUUCACCGGGGACGAUAAUGACGGUACCCGGAGAAGAAGCCCCGGCUAACUUCGUGCCAGCAGCCGCGGUAAUACGAAGGGGGCUAGCGUUGCUCGGAAUUACUGGGCGUAAAGGGAGCGUAGGCGGAUAGUUUAGUCAGAGGUGAAAGCCCAGGGCUCAACCUUGGAAUUGCCUUUGAUACUGGCUAUCUUGAGUAUGGAAGAGGUAUGUGGAACUCCGAGUGUAGAGGUGAAAUUCGUAGAUAUUCGGAAG